UGUAAGCGUAUACCAAAGUUGUUGCAGUUAAAACGCUCGUAGUCGGAAUUUGGCAGUUCCGGAUGUGUGCACGUCGUGUGCGCACUUCGCGGGGAUUGCUUUUGUGGUCUUGCGUAGGAUGAGGCACUUUUAUUAGUGAACGUCCUCACGCAACCACUUUUUACUGUGAGAAAAUCAGAGUGCUCAAAGCAGGCAUUUGCCGUGAAUGUAUUAGCAUGGAAUAAUAGAAUAGGACUUGGUUCUAUUUUGUUGGUUUGUUGGGACUGAGUAAUGAUUAAGAGGGACAGUUGGGGGCUAUUGUAUUUCGGUGCUAGAGGUGAAAUUCUUAGAUUACCGAAAGACAAACUGCUGCGAAAGCGUCUGCCAAGGAUGUUUUCAUUGA
RNAcentral lists this ribosomal RNA (382 nucleotides) under uncultured eukaryote. RNAcentral's name for it is "partial 18S ribosomal RNA". It matches the Rfam family "Eukaryotic small subunit ribosomal RNA", at positions 592 to 976 of the family's 1831-position model. The record is from RNAcentral.